AUCACUUCUCAGCCUUUUGGCUAAGAGCAAGUGUAGUAUCUGUUCUUAUCAGUUUAAUAUCUGAUUCGUCCUCUAUCCAAGGACAAUAUAUCAAAUGGAUUUUUGGAGCAGAGAGAUGAAAUAAGGGCUUGCUCCAUCCACUCCAUGCAUUGACCUGGUAUUGCAGUACCUCCAGGAACAGUGCACAAAAG
RNAcentral lists this small nuclear RNA (191 nucleotides) under Dasypus novemcinctus (nine-banded armadillo). RNAcentral describes it as "U2 spliceosomal RNA (ENSDNOG00000044779.1)". It matches the Rfam family "U2 spliceosomal RNA". Rfam says of the family: U2 is a small nuclear RNA (snRNA) component of the spliceosome (involved in pre-mRNA splicing). Complementary binding between U2 snRNA (in an area lying towards the 5' end but 3' to hairpin I) and the branchpoint sequence (BPS) of the intron results the bulging out of an unpaired adenosine, on the BPS, which initiates a nucleophilic attack at the intronic 5' splice site, thus starting the first of two transesterification reactions that mediate splicing. Lineage: Eukaryota; Metazoa; Chordata; Mammalia; Cingulata; Dasypodidae. The record is from RNAcentral.